This 85-nucleotide transfer RNA is filed under the name Felis catus (domestic cat). It matches the Rfam family "tRNA". From Rfam's summary of the family: Transfer RNA (tRNA) molecules are approximately 80 nucleotides in length. Lineage: Eukaryota; Metazoa; Chordata; Mammalia; Carnivora; Felidae. The record is from Rfam by way of RNAcentral.
GCCUGGCUGGCUCAGUUGGUUGGGCAUCCGACUUCGGCUUGGGUCAUGAUCUCAUGGUCUGUGGGUUCGAGCCCCACAUCGGGCU